AUGAUGAUCUUGUCACCUAAUAAUUUGCUUAUUUGUAUAGCCUCUCUGUCUCAGAAAAGCAGUGGCCGUCUUCUUUUUUAUGCCAACUAAGAGAUGCGUUGUGAUUUCAUGAUUGUUCUAACUUGGAUAUUGGCAGGAUAAGGUUUUACUUGCUGGAAUUGCUGAGAUUAUUUGACACCCUGGCUGUGGGAGAUGCUGCUUAUUAAAAGUUGGGUCUACGUAAAGGAUAUCUGAUGGAGAUGUAGCGUAAGAGAAUCAACGGAGGACAUUGAGGUUAUUGUUUCUUGUCAACCUGCGGCUGUUAUUGGUACAGAGUUGUUAUCUCAGGUUUAGAGCUGCAAAUGAAGCGUGUGCUCAUGAAAAGCUUGAGAUGGGAGUCCGUGUGGCUUUCAUUCAUUUAUCUUCUGAACAACCAAAGAUGAUAUAAUGCAACUCAAUAGUGAAGCGUCACUUCUUAGUGUCCUAACGCAAGGAGAAGUCAAACCUCAUCCAAAUCCUGUUGCAUUGUUUGUCUUUCCAUUGAUGAUGAUGUCUGUUUCAGGAAACGACGCUCAGGUCAACAAGUAACUGGAUGAUGUUCCAGUUGCACGCAUCAUUUGUGAUUGUCGAAUCUGGCUCGUCUAUUGUAUCCUUAUUACGCAGAUGGUCUUUCAUUACAAAUGAAAUAGUAAUCUGCAUUGCUAGUAGAAUAGAGACUUGCAAGCAUGUACUUGAAGCUACUGCUACCUGAGCUUAGUAUUGUGAUUACCUACCUGAGACUCAGCAUCCAGAAAAAGAUCACUUCAAUCAGAAACUUUAUGAUCCAAAAGCAACUAAAGCAGUGUUAGAAGCUUGCAUCGGGUUGGAGAAGCUCCACUCAUGUUGGGAUGAAAAGUGGUCUGAACUCCCAAUGCCAUGUUUCAAGGAGAAGAGUUUCGAGUGAGCAGACUGGACAUGGUUGAAAGCCUCCUGGUAUUUAGUGUUGUCUACUGAGUGCUGCAAACAAAAAGAUGAUGUGACACACCCCAGAGCAGUACUCUCCUCUCUCAGCGACAAGAUGGACUCCAUCUUGGACCUGGCAUGGUCAUGUCUUGCCCCGUUUGACAAAAAGAUAAGCUCCAAUGAUGUUACUGAUUCCGUGAAAUAGUUUCUGAAGCUGGAAAAUGAUGUUUAGGGCUCAGAAACAGCAACCGGUGAGGAAUCCUCAUGUUUUGAGUGGGUUCCUGUGAGUUCUCCAGAUCAGUGAGGGUAAGAAGAAGUCUCCAUAAUCCAAAGCCUUAGCUGAGGAUAUCUGGCCAUUUGGUGGAUGAACUGGAUCUCUGUGUUGCUGUUCGUAGAAGUGUUGGAAGAAAUUUUCUCUGUCUGUUCUAAGUUCAUAUACAAGACCAUUUGCAGACCAGAAGAGAAAAGAGCAGUGAAUGGAUUGUGAUAGGGAGGAGGCCCUUAAGGCCAAAGAAACUGCCGAAAGGAAAUUCAACAAUAAGGACGUCAAGGGUGCCAAAAAGUUGGCUCUGAAGGCUCAAAAUCUCUUCCCGUCACUUGAAGGCAUAAGCCAAAUGAUCACAACACUGGAUGUUUAUCUUGCGGCAGGAAAAAAGAUUAAUGGGGAGAGUGACUGGUAUGCAAUUCUCUCCGUGGAUGCCACUGCAGAUGAAGAGACACUGAAGAAACAUUAUAGGCAGUUAGCCCUCCAGCUGCACCCUGACAAGAACAAAUCCGUAGGAGCAGAAGGUGCUUUCAAACUCAUCUCCGAGGCUUGGAAUGUAUUUUCUGAUAAGAAUAGGAAAAUGGCAUAUGACCAGAUGAGAAAUGUCGAUGGUUUAGAAAACAGAGCUUCACAACCACAUAGAGAUUGUUCUGUUCAUAAGACUGCCAAUGGUUUCUACUCAUCUUCCAACACAACAUCUGGCAAAAGAGCUCGAAAGAGAAAAACUGGUUCUGCUCCAUCUGCUGCCCCUCCUCAACCUCAUCCAAUAAAUUUGAACACGUUUUGGACAUCUUGCAACUGCUGCAGGAUGCAGUAUGAAUACCUUAGGACUUACCUUAAUCACAAUCUUUUAUGUCCCAACUGUCAUCAGGCCUUCAUGGCUAUCGAGAUAGGAAUUCCAGGUAAUGCAGCAAAUUCUUCUAUUUCAUGGUCAGCCAGGCAGCACGAACAUAAUUCAAACUAUAAGUACACAAUAAAGAAUGGUUAUAGUUCUGGGUUCAGUACCUCCACUUUUUCUGGAACAGGUCAUACAGAAUUACAGCAUGGGGGAAAUCUUGACUUUUAUAACCGUCAUAAGUUCCAAUGGAGCUCUUUCACUGGAUCAUCUGGGACUUCUAGUACAACAGAUUCUGCUUUUCAGCCUGCAAACUUAAUCCAUAAGAAAUUUGGAAAAAAGAGAAGAAAGCAUGAGGCACAAGCAGCAGCUCGAAGGGAAGAGUCCUUCCGGACGGAUUAUCAUGUAUACAAGAGUGCAGAUGAUGGUUCUAGAAAUUACAAUGAUGGUCACACCCUAACAAGUUAUGAUCAGGACCGGUGUAUUUCUAAGGCUGGCAGGCCAGCAAAGAGGAGGAACAAUGGUGACCAAAGCGGUGAUUGUUAUAUAACAGAUGAGACAGAGAAUAUGUCUACAAGCAUCGAAGACACCAUUAAUCCUGAAGUUGAAAGGUCUAAUGGUGCUGUUGAGGAUCUUCUUAGAACUAGAAUCACAGCAAGACAGAACAACUACAUCAGGGAGUAUUCACAAGUCAAUAUCUGGAAAAUGCUUACGGAGAAGGCUAAGGCAGCGAUUGGUAUAAAGCUAGAAGAAUGGAACUUAGCUCAGGCAAACAAGUUGGAAGAAAAAGAGAAAUUAAGGCGGCAAAAUGGACAAGAAGCAUCUGCAAUAGAUGCAAAUACAGGCAGCAUUAGGGAAUCUUCAGCCCAUGGCCUUGAUGUUAAUACAGCUAAGAAAGUCGUUAAACAUGCAUCCAUUGAUGUACCUGAUCCUGAUUUCUAUGACUUUGACAAGGAUCGCUUGGAGAUGACUUUUGAAGGUGACCAGGUAUGGGCUACAUAUGACAGUGAAGAUGGUAUGCCUCGACUCUAUGCCAUGGUUCAAAAAGUUUUAUCUUUGAAUCCUUUUAACAUCCGCAUGAGUUUCCUUAAUACAAAGUCCAACAGUGAAUUGGGACCAGUUAACUGGGUAGCCUCUGGAUUUGACAAAACCUGCGGGGAUUUUAGGGUGGGUAGAUAUCAAAUUAGUGACACGGUCAAUAUAUUCUCACAUAGAGUUAGAUGGGAGAAGGGUCCACGUGGAGUCAUUAGAAUUGUCCCUAAGAAAGGUGAUAUUUGGGCCUUAUAUAGAAAUUGGUCUCCAGACUGGAAUGAGCUUACGCCUGAUGAUGUGAUAUACAAGUAUGAAAUGGUGGAAGUACUUGAUGAUUACACAGAUGACCAUGGUGUGUCUGUCAUCCCAUUGGUGAAAGUUGCUGGUUUCAAAGCAGUGUUCCAUCGACAUAUGGAUCCAUUGGAGGUUAAGAGGAUCACAAGAGAAGAAAUGUUUCGUUUCUCACAUCAGGUUCCUUCUUAUUUGCUCACAGGCGAAGAAGCUCAUAAUGCUCUGAAGGGUUGCCUUGAAUUGGACCCGGCAGCAACUCCUGUUGAACUUCUUCAGGUUAUAACCGAAGUUAAGGAAGAUUUGGGGAUGGAGAUAAACAAACAACAAUCAGGUAAUUGAUUCAGAAUCUAUUAGGGGCAGUGGAUGAACCUUUGGCAUCGAACAAUGGACUUGUCACAAAAUGAAGUCUCAGGGAGCUUCCAUUCACCAUUUCAUCAUCCUUUUUUUUCUCGAUGACUUGGACUAGGAUGCCAGGGUUGGUGACCAUUCACAUAUCUUCUGUUACAGUCAUUGUUGGGCAUAUCUAACCAUUAACUCUUAUUCCAAUAUGAGAUUGCUGGAAAUAGCAGUUAGUUUCUGGGACCUUGUUCCUGCUAGAACCUGAUUUCCAUCUUACCCUUGAACGUCAAACCAUGCGCUGAAAGAAUUCUAUAUUGGCAGUUUUUGAAUCUAAUCUUCAUCUGGGAUGAUCGAGAGAAGGGUUAAAACUUGAUGAUUGAGGUCUCCAGAGGUACAUUCAUGAAUGCAGGUCUUCGUGGUGGAUGGAUGAGGACAGGUCCUUCCCGAUCCGUCUGGUUCUUUGAUCCUCUUGUAUUAUAAUGACAAUGGUGGAUCAGUAAUUUAUACUGCAGCGAGGAGCCUAUCAGGACCUGCAACCUUGACCAUACCAACGAAGAACAUGAGCUGAAGCCCUGUUAUCAGUGGUGUAAUCUACAUACUAUUAGGGUUCUCCACCCAUGCAACUGUCUCCCGCAGAAUUAACUAUGAAGUAGAAGAAGAUGAGUUCUAAAGGAUAAACGACGGAGACAGAGUUGACACCAUCAAUUGAGUACUAUAUUUAUUCAUAGGAAUAAAGGCGACAGAAGUAAAUUACACGAUGCACACAGCUCGUUUGUUUUCCUCUUCAGCAUUGUCUGUCUUCUUCAGUCCAACCGCUGGGGUGACGGUGGUGGCUCAGGCAGAUCGUAUUCGGCAGGAUGAUCAAGGCGCUGGAUCUGUCCAGCUCGAGGAACAUACGGCGACUGCAUCCCAUUUGGGCCUGAGGGAGCCGUUCGCUGCUUGGGAAGUAGACCUCGCAUCUCAUCGUUCUCUUCUGCAACAACACCGCCGGCAGCUACUUGCAGACGCUUGUCCUUGUCCCUACCGUUUUUUCCCAGUCUUGUUCCUGCUGCAGCAGUGGCUGUAGACACAACCAGAACCGCCAUUACAACGCAAAUGACCCUUGUUUGCUCCAUAUGAUCUCUGCUAUCUCGAGGCUUUGGAUGAUCUCGUAUGGAUCAUCUACUGGCCUUUUAUAGGCAGGCUUAUGGAGGUGGGAGGGAACGAAGUUUAGAGAGCCAUGGCAUCGCUUACUCUUCUUUAAUCUCAGAAAACUUGUCCUCAUGUACUUUAAUUAGGUACGAUCUCUCUUCAUGUACUUUAGUUUUCCUUCUGAUCAAGGUGGCUAGCACUUGAGGUAGACACAUA
RNA transcript from Musa acuminata AAA Group (dessert banana), 5030 nucleotides. RefSeq lists it as uncharacterized. The transcript is spliced from 5 exons. Lineage: Eukaryota; Viridiplantae; Streptophyta; Magnoliopsida; Zingiberales; Musaceae. The record is from RefSeq and is a predicted model, not a curated record.